Long non-coding RNA from Centruroides sculpturatus (bark scorpion), 309 nucleotides. RefSeq lists it as uncharacterized. The transcript has 3 exons. NCBI's taxonomy places the organism in Eukaryota, Metazoa, Arthropoda, Arachnida, Scorpiones, Buthidae. The record is from RefSeq and is a predicted model, not a curated record.
CUAUCGUUACUUUUUCUUCUAGCAACGCCGGGAUGAUCUGCUAGUAAGUUUAUAAUACUUAAAAACGUUAUAUAUUUAUGAAUUAUACAUUAUAGAAGAAAAUGGAUAAAGACUACGUGUGGAAAAUUUCUGGUCACGAUCAUCCCCAAGCGAUGAGAUUUACAGAAUCGAAAAAACAAAUAACUCACACUUGGUUUUUUGAUAUCAUUAAAAUCUUACAAGAACAGUUAAAAUUUAGAUAUGAAGUUGUUCAUCCAAUACCUUUAAAAGCCGGCACAAGAGAAGAAGAUGGCUCUUAUUCUGGAAUGA